RNAcentral lists this long non-coding RNA (16460 nucleotides) under Salvia miltiorrhiza (redroot sage). RNAcentral describes it as "long non-coding RNA (SMIL_LNC006997)". Lineage: Eukaryota; Viridiplantae; Streptophyta; Magnoliopsida; Lamiales; Lamiaceae. The record is from RNAcentral.
UCAUCUUCUUCUUUUAGGAAUUGUGAAUAAUAACUAGUGUUAUGAUUCACCAUUGUGACAGCACGAAACACUUCAUUCUUCAUGUCAAAGGUUAGUAUAAUUACCUUAUCAUCUUUUUCUCGCGCUAGCCAGUGCGCAAAGUGGCCAUUCUUGCACGACGACUUUAUGGGCUUAACGAUCUCCAAUAGCUGAGCAAGCACGCCGCCGCCGCCCAAAUCCCUCCAAGAAUCCGUCGCUCUCGAAUACAGCUGGGCGUGGAACUGGAGGUAGCUGUGUUCGGUGUAAUACACAUGCAUCAGCUCCACCACUUUGUAAUCUUUGUCGAAACCAAUCCCGACGUCGCGCCUGGCAAAUAAUCGGCAUGAUGGGGAAAGAAAAGAGGGAGGAUUCGGUAGAUUCUUGAAUUGACCUAGAAAAGGGUUGCAUAUGGCUAUGGAGGGCACCUUGAAUUUCCUGUUCACAAUGCCAAUUAGACCCUUCACCGGCCCAACAAACUUGAUUCGCGAGAAGUAACAAAAGGCGUUGUUGUACGACUCCAAUGACUUCCCGUUGUCUAGGAGCUUUACUGAUAGUUUCGGAUCUGGAUCAUCGCGAAAAGGAUAAGAAAAUUGUAGAUAUACAACGUCGUUUUGUUGUUGUUGUUGUUGUUUUUGUUGGUAUGCAUGCCAGAAUUUGCAGACAGAUCUGAAUCUCAAGAGGGAUUGAACGGAUAGCAGCAAGAGUAUUUGUGUCACGACGUCGACGUCGUUGUCGGGUGGAGUAGAAGCAGCCAUUGCUAUGUGUUUCAAUAAUCAAUUACAUAAUUUUGGCCUAAUCAUAAACAUAUAUUUUUUCUUAUAUGAUAUAUGUAAGCUUAAUUUUGGCCUCAUCAUAAACAUAUAUUUUUUCUUAUAAGCUUGGAUAUUAGCCUAAAACAAAUUGGGCUUAAUAUAUAUCAUAAACAUAAUUCUUUUUAGUUCAUAGCCUUUUAUUGUAUUCUCCAUAGCCUAACAUAAAUUGGGCUUAAUAUAUAUCAUAAACAUAUUUCUUUUUAGUUCAUGGCCUUUUUCUGUGUUCUCCAUGGCAAAAAAUAAAUUGGGCUUAAAAUAUAUAAUAAACAUACCGUAUAGUUUGGGUGAUUCUAUUCACAGUCUCAUUUUACUUUGUAUAGCCCUCUAUUUAAAAGAUGCAAUGAUUAUUGAUCCAAAAAACCAUUGUUAGUAGGUGUGUAAAAUGGCGUUGAAACUGGUGUCAUACAGUUUUUUGGCAGAAGUUUAAUAUGCAUAAACAUGUUUCUUUAUCAUAUUAUGAUAAAGGGCUAUAAAUAUUUUAAGAUAAAACGAUAUAAAUAUUUUCAGAUUACAAUUGAGAGUUACACAUAUUUAUUUAAAUGAAAUUGUUAAUUUAUUAUAAAUUUAAUUUAAUUUGGGAACUAUGAAGUAUAGGAUAAAAAUAUAAAUUUAUAAUUAUUAUUCAAGAUAGGAGGCUAUAGAAAGUAAAAUAGGGGCUAUGAAUAGAACCACCCCUGUAGCUACUGUAUUACCAGAAAAUGAAACCUAAAAUUAUCAAAAAGUAGUAAUAAACAAAAAUGUAAAAUAAUACUAUGAAAAGCGCAUUUUUAACUGUGUCUAUAAUGCUUUAGACAUCGUAAUGUCAUGCAACGAUUUUACGAUGCAAUAUUUUCAAGAAUUCUUGUAUAUAACAUUUUCCAGACCUUUUUAGUUAUAUAUAAAUAAAUUUUUAACUGACAAUUUUUGUAUCAAGCAAUUAAGUAUGUUCAAAGUGUUGGAAAUCUGCUAUGCAGGCGAAAACGUUCAGCAGAAUUAACGCCUACAAAGUGCUCGACCGAACGACUGAAAGAGUUAAAAGAAAGGGCUGCAGAAAUCUUCACACCAACUGUUUGGGAAAAUGCCUUGAAGAGAAAAAGGACUGCAAAAGUGGAGAAGCUGAACCGUUGAGAAUACCCAUUUCUAUAAAUGGUGGAAACUUCAAUUCAAAUACAUUAUUAUCACCCUUAAUGAUCAAACAUCAUUAAUUUAUUCCAUGCAUGCUAAUUAGCUCUCCUAACAACGAAGAUUAGGUCCAGGGUUAACUCCGAAUUGGUUACAAUAACUCGUAUAAUAAUUAACACGAGCAGUCACGGCGGCCGGGAUCCCGCCGUCGCAUUCCCCGCCAUGAAUAGCCCUAAUCGUGGCCCCAAAACCCCGCCCCGAUGUAAUAGCUGUGUGCACCCUAUUCAUCCAGAACCACAGCGCGGCCUUGAAUGAGAUGGCGGGGUCACGGGCCACGAUAUCGGGGUUGUUCAAUCCAUCAAAAUUUAGGGCUUGGCCCGCCGGGCCGUAGUUGUAGUUCCACGUCAGCUGUAGCGGGCCUCUGCCGUAGUACCUCUGGCCCGGCGUGCACGGCCACUGUUUGUUGCUAUUGCAAUAGAUCGCCUUGUUUAUCUCUCGUGUGUAGCACAUGUCUGCAUGGGAAAGAAAAUUAUCAGAUCGUCUGAUGGGUCAAGAUUCAUCACAUAUAUUCAUUAAUAAUACUCCCUCCGUCCGCCAAAAGUAUUCCACUUUGGCCUGGCACGGAGUUUAAUAAAAUGUGUGAUGAUGUUGAUGUAGUGGAGAAAGGGCCCUACCACUUUAUGAGAUAUGUGGUUGAGAUUGAAUUUGAGGUGAGUUUUUGUAAAUAAAGAGUGUUUGUAAGGANCCUACGUCGCCUUACCUCUAAAUCUCCGACCUGACUUGAUUUGUUACGAAAAAAAAGGAAAAAUAAUACUCCCUCCGUCCGUCAAAAGUAUUCCACUUUGGCCGGGCACGGAGUUUAAUAAAAUGUGUGAUGAUGUUGAUGUAGUGGAGAAAGGGCCCUACCACUUUAUGAGAUAUGUGGUUGAGAUUGAAUUUGAGGUGAGUUUUUUGUAAAUAAAGAGUGUUUGUAAGGAUAAAAUAUAAAGGUGGAUGGUGGGACCAUGGCUUAAAAAGGAAAGUGGAAUACUUUUUGCGGACGCCAAAUAUAGUAAUUGUGGAAUACUUUUGGCGGACGGAGGGAGUAUUAAUCUUUGGUUUAUGGUUGUGUUCGGAUAUAGACAUUGAAUUAAUUUAUGGAUUUUGACACGUCAUACCGUCUGACAUGAUAUUAUUUCCCUAGUUCAAUAUUGAUUUCAACUCAUAUAAGUUGUGAGACAGAGAAUCUCAUCGAAUUAUCAAUAUUUUGUGUGAAGCAUUGUACAAUAGCGCUUCUAAAGCCUAAUUAAAUAGUAGGAGUAAAAAAUUUGUCUUUCGAAAUCUCAAACUCAAUACAUGUGUGCAAGAUGAUUAAUGCCCAAGGCCUGAAGUGCUGAAUUUGAUUCCACCGUGGCACGAUUUUUAAUUUAUUUAUUUAGUUGUGUAAUUUAUACAAAAAAAAAAAAAAAAAAAGAUAUAGCUCCUAAGUGAGAGUAACAAAGUUAACAAUUAAAAAGAAAUGUGAUUAUAUAUAAAAUUAUAAUCUUUUAAAAAGUAAAAUAAAAAUAAAUAAAUAAGAAAACUUAGUCCAAUCUAAUGUGUGACAUGCCAUGACCUCACGCUCCGAUUCGUCGGUGGACACGAGUUUCGAAAAAAAUUAAUUAUAUAUAAUUAGUAACAAUAUGUCCGAAAAUAGAAUAGGAAGAUAUUUUAUGGAGGAAUCAAAAAAGAAAAGUAGGAAAAUAUUUCGUGGACUUACGCCCGGUCUCGUGCGUGACAUGAGCGAAGAACGCCGCGAUCUCACGCUUCGAGUCGUCGGCGGACCCCACCGUGCCGAAGUUGGGGUACAGCUGAAUCGCUUGUAGGAAGGCGGCGCGUGUGUAGAAUCCCUUCCCGGCGCAGCCCCGCCACGCCUGAUUAGCAAUGCCGUUGAAGAAACUAUCUGUCACCACGCCGCCGACAUUGCUCCGUUGUUUUGGUCCGGAGACGGUAUUUUUCCGGUGGCUAGGAGGAGAGCGAGAAGGGCGUAGAUAGUGAGGGAAUGGUUCAUUUUGGAGAUAGCUAAGAGUAGUGAGAAAAUAUUGUGUUGGUGUUGAGAAAUAAUGUGGGGAUUUAUGGGUAUUUAAAGAGUGAAAUAAAUAUAUACUCCAUUAUUUUAUUUUAUCUUUAGAAGGAUAAUGGGAAGAGGAAGAUAUCUUGAAGCUAGGAAGAUUGGAAGUUUGUUACAAAUGGAUUAAUUAGUAUAUUAUUGACUUUUGGAAUGCCUUAUAGUGUAUGAUACUAUUUGAUUUUAUUGUGGUGGAAAUUUGUGUUGGAUUUUCCAAAGUGGAGUAGGUAAACUUGACUUACUAUUAAGAGUCAACUCAUAAUAUUUACACCAUAACUAGUUACUUGUAAUCUAAUUAUAUGCUAAAGGAUAUUGUUCACUACAAAUUAUACUUAUAAGUUCAAAUGAGAAGGUAUAUAAUGUACUAUACAUUAAAAAUUAUUUUAGUACUGAAAAUGUGAAGAUUUACUGUGAAUUCAUCACUUUGCUGAACGAUCUCAUAAUUCAUGGAUCAUACUGAAUUUAAAUCUUAAAGGUGUUGAAAAUUUAUUUUCUUUUAAUUCAUUACUUUUCAUUUUCACAAUGAAUUCAUAAUAAUUCAUAUAUGAGAUGUUUGAUUUGAGCGAUAAGCAUGACUGAUAAACAAGCCCAACUUAACUAAACAUUUGGUUUGUAUGAUUCGACUCGUAAUAUAAUUUGGCCCGUAAUUUAAUCAUAUAAUAAAAUGAUCAUUUAUCACUUUAAAAUUGAGUUGAUUAUAUAUAACUAUAUCCGACAUUAUAAACAAUGAGACCAAAUAUAUAAAGACUCCAAAAUAAAAAUAAAAAAACCACGAAAGUGUUUAAUAAAAAUGAAAUAAAAGAAGAAUAUGAAAAACCAACAUACUAGUGAGUCACAUGAUUCUCUAGAGUCUUUGGUCAAUUCUAUAUCUCAAUACAUUAAAAAUAAUAAAUAUUAUAGUCCAAACUUAGGGGGUGUAUUAGUUCAAGAUUUAUGUAGAUUUUAAAAAUCCGUGGAUUUUAAAAGUCUAUAGAAUUCUCACGGAUUCUUCAUGAUUUUGAAUGAAUUCUUGGUCGGAUUUUUAAUGAAUUAGCAAGAAUUUGACGUGAUAUUUUCGGACUUGAAAUCCACAAACCCAAUGAGCGCGGGAAUUGAACGAGCGCUAGACCUACUUUCAGCGGCCGCUAGGGGCCCAUGAGCGCUGGAUACCUAGCGAGCGCUGGGUUCCAGCGAGCGCUCAAACCAUAUAUCACAUCAUUGGAUUUGGUUGGUGCCUAAAAUUUUACCGGUGGUGCACAUAUAUUCCCAACUUUCACACAGUUAUAUAUAUUAUCAUAUAGUAUUUCAAACAUGCAUAUGCGCCUCCCAAUAACUGGAUUUAUGAUUAUUAUUUUGACUACACUGGUUCUAUUUCUAUGUAAUCGGCGCUAUUUAAUUCUAGUGGGUAACUAUUAUUUGCAUGCAUUCCCAUUAUUAUAUAUAUAUCUCUAUCCACUAAGCAAUUUAAUUUCCUAAUGGAUAAUAUGGUGAUGGGAGCUUCCCGAAGAAAAUCAUGGCACCACGAGCGCUGAAGAAACUUGACCGCUGGAAUCAUUGGCAACGGCCGCUAGGGUCCAGCGGCCGCUGGCACCCAGCGAGCGCGGGGAUUUUGCAGGAUUUGUGAAUUCUCGUGGUCUGUGUUCGGAUUUGUUCAUACUUAUUUUUUCAACGAAAUCAAUGAAAGUCGUUCCAAUUUUAAAGUCCAUAGAUUAACGAAUACAUCCAGAUUUUCAUAGACUUUUAAAAGUCUUGAACAAAUACACCCAGAUAUUUAUAGACUUUUAAAAGUCUUGAACGAAUACACCUAGAUUUUCAUAGACUUUUAAAAGUUUUGAACGAAUACACCUAGAUUUUCAUAGACUUUUAAAAGUCUUGAACUAAUACACCUAACCUUUAAAAGUCUGCAGAAAUCUAUUAAAGUCUUAAACUAAUACACCCCCCUUGGUUCACGUGAUCAUGGUCCCCAUAUGUAAUACCGACCUAAUUUUCCACAUUCUCUUUUUUCUCUUUUUUUUUUUUUCUUUUUUUCUUCUAGUAACAUUUUUGUAUUCUCAUCCCUUCUUGUUUAUACCACAUAUAACAAAUAUCUCAUUGAUUUAAUCUAUUUCAAUUUUUUUUAAAAGAUAUUUCCUAAAUAUAACCUACCCCAAUUAACAUUAGCUAAGACUUCAAGUUAAAUAUUAAAAAAGAGGGGGAAAAGGCCUUAAAAUACACAAAGUUUGGACGAAUUCUGAUUUUACACACAACUUUUGAAAUUUGAAAAAAAAAAUACAACAAAUUUUAAUUUUUUUUUAUUUUUUCCUAAAUUUAAAAAUACCCUAAAAUUAGAAACAUAUGAGUUGCUACUACAACCCAACACAGCAAGCUCAUAACCCGUACAUAUAAUGUAUUUAAUGAGCUUCGCAAUUCAACAUGAAAAUAAAGCUUUCUCUCGCAAUCAAACGUUAACUCACAAGAAAAUGAAAAUAAAUUGUAGCAGUUUAAAAUUUAAUGUAUUUCAUUUCAAAUUUCAAAGGUUGUGAGCAUAUUAAAAUUUUAUUUUUAUUUUUUCAUGGAUUAAUGUUUGAUUGCGAGAGAAAACUUUAAUCAAUAUUUUGAAUAUAAAUUUAAAUAUAAAUAUAAAUUUAUAUUCGGUAAACAAAAUUCGGGAUUCGAUGCGAUACUAAACAAAUCAAACUUGAGCACACCAGUAUUCAAUUCGACUCGGUUCGAUUAUACCCCUAUGUAUUCCCAGAAAAUGAAACCUUUUACCAAAAAGUACAAAGAUGUAAAAUAAUACUGUGAAAAGCGCAUUUUCAACUGUCUGUAAUGCUUUAGACAUCGUAUGUCGUGCAACGAUUUUACGAUGCAAUAUUUUCAAGAAUUCUUGAAAUUCACUGUAUCCAGCUUGGAUCCAUAACAUUUUUCAGACCUUUUUAGUUAUAUACUCCCUCCGUCCAUGAAAGAACUUCCUAUGAGGGAGUGGCACGGGUUUUAAUAAAAUGUUGUAUAGUGUAUUGAGAAUGGAGAAAAAGUUGUAAAGUGUAUUGGGAAUUGUGAAAAAGUAUUAAUAAUUUAUUGUGUUGUUUUAAUUAAUGUUAUUUGAGUGGUGGGAAUUGUCUUAAAAGGGGAGUAUUUUUUAAGUGGUGGGGUAUUGUCCCAAAAUAGGAAAAAGUAGGAAGUUCUUUCGUGGAUGUCCCGAAAUAGAAAAAUAGGAAGUUCUUUCGUGGACGGAGGGAGUAUACAUUUUUAACAGACAAUCUUUGUAUCAAGUAAAUAUGUUCAAACUGUUGGAAAUCUGCUAUGCUAUGCUGGAGAAAUCGUUCAGCAGAAUAGACGCCUACAAAGUGCUCGACAGAACGACUGAAAGAGUUAAAAGAAAGGGCUGCAGAAAUCUUCACACCAACUGUUUGGGAAAAUGCCUUCAAUAGAAAAAGGACUGCAAAAGUGGAGAAGCUGAACCGUUGAGAAUACCCAUUUCUAAUGCUGCAAACUUCAAUUCAAAUACACUAAUGAUCAAACAUCAUUAAUUUAUUCCAUGCAUGUUAAUUAGCUCUCCUAACAACGAAGAUUAGGUCCGGGAUUAACUCCGAAUUGGUUACAAUAACUCGUAUAAUAAUUAACACGAGCAGUCACGGCGGCCGGGAUCCCUCCGUCGCAUUCCCCGCCAUGAAUAGCCCUAAUCGUGGCCCCAAAACCCCGCCCCGAUGUAAUAGCUGUGUGCACCCUAUUCAUCCAGAACCACAGCGCGGCCUUGAAUGAGAUGGCGGGGUCCCGGGCCACGAUAUCGGGGUUGUUCAAUCCAUCAAAAUUUAGGGCUUGGCCCGCCGGGCCGUAGUUGUAGUUCCACGUCAGCUGUAGCGGGCCUCUGCCGUAGUACCUCUGGCCCGGCGUGCACGGCCACUGUUUGUUGCUAUUGCAAUAGAUCGCCUUGUUUAUCUCUCGUGUGUAGCACAUGUCUGCAUGGGAAAGAAAAUUAUCAGAUCGUCUGAUGGGUCAAGAUUCGUCACAUAUAUUCAUUAAUAAUAUUAAUCUUUGGUUUAUGGUUGUGUUCGGAUAUAGACAUUGAAUUAAUUUAUGGAUUCUGACUCGUCAUACCGUCUGACAUGAUAUUAUUUCCCUAGUUCAAUAUUGAUUUCAACUCAUAUAAGUUGUGAGACAGAGAAUCUCAUCGAAUUAUCAAUAUUUUGUGUGAAGCAUUGUACAAUAGCGCUUCUAAAACCUAAUAAAAAAUUUGUCUUUCGAAAUCUCAAACUCAAUACAUGUGUGCAAGAUGAUUAAUGCCCAAGGUCUGAAGUGCUGAAUUUGAUUCCACCGUGGCACGAUUUUUAAUUUAUUUAUUUAGUUGUGUAAUUUAUCAAAAAAAAAUUGUUUUGAAAAAAAAAUAGAAAAAGAUAGCUCCUAAGUGAGAGUAACAAAGUUAACAAUUAAAAAGAAAUGUGAUUAUAUAUAAAAUUAUAAUCUUUUAAAAAGUAAAAUAAAAAUAAAUAAAUAAGAAAACUUAGUCCAAUCUAAUGUGUGACAUGCGCGAAGAACGCCAUCACCUCACGCUCUGAUUCGUCGGUGGACACGAGUUUCGAGAAAAUUUAAUUAUAUCUUUGGUGAAUGCAAAAAGGGUUUAUAAUUUAGAAAAAAAUAGUGAGUGAAUUUAUGUGAGUCCAUUAGUGAUAAUGCGUGUAAAUAUAUGGUAAUUUUAAUUGUAAUAAUUAGUAACAAUAUGUUCGAAAAUAGAGUAGGAAGAUAUUUUAUGGAGGAAUCAAAAAAGAAAAUUAGGAAAAUAUUUCGUGGACUUACGCCCGGUCUCGUGCGUGACAUGAGCGAAGAACGCUGCGAUCUCACGCUUCGAGUAGUCGGCGGACCCCACCGUGCCGAAGUUGGGGUACAGCUGAAUCGCUUGUAGGAAGGCGGCGCGUGUGUAGAAUCCCUUCCCGGCGCAGCCCCGCCCCGCCUGAUUAGCAAUGCCGUUGAAGAAACUAUCUGUCACCACGCCGCUGACAUUGCCUCCGUUGUUUUGGCCGGAGACGUAUUUUCCGGUGGCUAGGAGGAGAGCGAGAAGGGCGUAGAUAGUGAGGGAAUGGUUCAUUUUGGAGAUAGCUAAGAGUAGUGAGAAAAUAUUGUGUUGGUGUUGAGAAAUAAUGUGGGGAUUUAUGGGUAUUUAAAGAGUGAAAUAAAUAUAUACUCCAUUAUUUUAUUUUAUCUUUAGAAGGAUAAUGGGAAGAGGAAGAUUGGAAGUUUGUUACAAAUGGAUUAAUUAGUAUAUUAUUGACUUUUGGAAUGCCUUAUAGUAUAUGAUACUAUUUGAUUUUAUUGUGGUGGAAAUUUGUGUUGGAUUUUCCAAAGUGGAGUAGGUAAACUUGACUUACUAUUAAGAGUCAACUCAUAAUAUUUACACCAUAACUAGUUACUUGUAAUCUAAUUAUAUGCUAAAGGAUAUUGUUCACUACAAAUUAUACUUAUAAGUUCAAAUGAGAAGGUAUAUAAUGUACUAUAAAUUAAAAAUUAUUUCAGUACUGAAAAUGUGAAGAUUUACUGUGAAUUCAUCACUUUGCUGAACGAACUCAUAAUUCAUGGUUCAUACUGAAUUUAAAUCUUAAAGGUGUUGAAAAUUUAUUUUCUUUUAAUUCAUUACUUUUCAUUUUCACAAUGAAUUCAUAAUAAUUCAUAUAUGAGAUGUUUGAUUUGAGCGAUAAGCAUGACUGAUAAACAAGCCCAACUUAACUAAACAUUUGGUUUGUAUGAUUCGACUCGUAAUAUAAUUUGGCCCGUAAUUUAAUCAUAUAAUAAAAUGAUCAUUUAUCACUUUAAAAUUGAGUUGAUUAUAUAUAACUAUAUCCGACAUUAUAAACAAUGAGACCAAAUAUAUAAAGACUCCAAAAUAAAAUAAAAAACCACGAAAGUGUUUAAUAAAAAUGAAUAAAAUAAGAAUAUGAAAACCAACAUACUAGUGAGUCACAUGAUUCUCUAGAGUCUUUGGUCAAUUCUAUAUCUCAAUACAUUAAAAAUAAUAAAUAUUAUAGUCCAAACUUAGGGGUGUAUUAGUUCAAGAUUUAUGUAGAUUUUAAAAAUCCGUGGAUUUUAAAAGUCUAUAGAAUUCUCACGGAUUCUUCAUGAUUUUGAAUGAAUUCUUGGUCGGAUUUUUAAUGAAUUAGCAAGAAUUUGACGUGAUAUUUUCGGACUUGAAAUCCACAAACCCAAUGAGCGCGGGAAUUGAACGAGCGCUAGACCUACUUUCAGCGGCCGCUAGGGGCCCAUGAGCGCUGGAUACCUAGCGAGCGCUGGGUUCCAACGAGCGCUCAAACCAUAUAUCACAUCAUUGGAUUUGGUUGGUGCCUAAAAUUUUACCGGUGGUGCACAUAUAUUCCCAACUUUCACACUGUUAUAUAUAUUAUCAUAUAGUAUUUCAAACAUGCAUAUGCGCCUCCCAAUAACUGGAUUUAUGAUUAUUAUUUUGACUACACUGGUUCUAUUUCUAUGUAAUCGGCGCUAUUUAAUUUUAGUGGGUAACUAUUAUUCGCAUGCAUUUCCAUUAUUAUAUAUAUAUCUCUAUCCACUAAGCAAUUUAAUUUCCUAAUGGAUAAUAUGGUGAUGGGAGCUUCCCGAAGAAAAUCAUGGCACCACGAGCGCUGAAGAAACUUGACCUCUGGAAUCAUUGGCAACGGCCGCUGGCUUCUUGGCCGCGGGCGCUGGCACCCAGCGAGAGCGGGGAUUUUGCAGGAUUUGUGAAUUCUCGUGGUCUGUGUUCGGAUUUGUUCAUGCUUGUUUUUUCAACGAAAUUAAUGAAAGUCAUUUCAAUUUUAAAGUCCAUAAAUUAUCGAAUACAUCCAGAUUUUUAUAGACUUUUAAAAGUCUUGAACGACCUAAAUUUUCAUAGACUUUUAAAAGUAUUGAACGAAUACACCUAGAUUUUCAUAGACUUUUAAAAGUCUUGAACUAAUACACCUAACCUUUAAAAGUCUGCAGAAAUCUAUUAAAGUCUUAAACUAAUACACCCCCCUUAAUUGGUUCACGUGAUCAUGGUCCCCAUAUGUAAUACCGACCUAAUUUUCCACAUUCUCUUUCUUCUUCUUUUUUUUUUUUCUUUUUUUCUUCUAGUAACAUUUUUGUAUUCUCAUCCCUUCUUGUUUAUACCACAUAUAACAAAUACUCCCUCCGUCCCACUGUAAGUGAGACCUUUUUUUUGGGCACGAGAAUUAAGAAAGGUGUAUUUUGUGUGUAAGUGAAAAAAGUGAAAAUGUGUUUAAAGGGAAAAACUUUUACCUAAAAAGGAAAGAGUCUCACUUACAAUGGGACGCCCAAAAUAGAAAGAGUCUCAGAUACAGUGGGACGGAGGGAGUAUCUCAUUGAUUUAAUCUAUUUCAAUUUUUUUUAAAAGAUAUUUCCUAAAUAUAACCUACCCCAAUUAACAUUAGCUAAGACUUCAAGUUAAAUAUUAAAAAAGAGGGGGAAAAGGCCUUAAAAUACACAAAGUUUGGACGAAUUCUGAUUUUACACACAACUUUUGAAAUUUGAAAAAAAAAUACAACAAAUUUUAAUUUUUUUUUAUUUUUUCCUAAAUUUAAAAAUACCCUAAAAUUAGAAACAUAAAAGUUGCUACUACAACCCAACACAGCAAGCUCAUAACCCGUACAUAUAAUGUAUUUAAUGAGCAUCGCAAUUCAACAUGAAAAUAAAGCUUUCUCUCGCAAUCAAACAUUAACUCACAAGAAAAUGAAAAUAAAUUGUAGCUGUUUAAAAUUUAAUGUAUUUCAUUUCAAAUUUCAAAGGUUGUGAGCAUAUUAAAAUUUUAUUUUUAUUUUUUCGUGGAUUAAUGUUUGAUUGCGAGAGAAAACUUUAAUCAAUAUUUUGAAUAUAAAUAUAAAUAUAAAUAUAAAUUUAAAUAUAAAUUUAAAUAUAAAUUUAUAUUCGGUAAACAAAAUUCGGGAUUCGAUGCGAUACUAAACAAAUCAAACUUGAGCACACCACUAUUCAAUUCGGCUCGAUCGGUUCGAUUAUACGCCUAUGUAUAAUGUAUUCCCGGAAAAUGAAACCUUUAACAAAAAGUACAAAGAUGUAAAAUAAUACUGUGAAAAGCGCAUUUUCAACUCUCUAUAAUGCUUUAGACAUCGUAUGUCAUGCAACGAUUUUACGAUGCAAUUUUUUCAAGAAUUCUUGAAAUUCACUGUAUCCAGCUUGGAUCCAUAACAUUUUUCAGACCUUUUUAGUUAUAUAUACAUUUUUAACUGACAAUCUUUGUAUCAAGUAAAUAUGUUCAAACUGUUGGAAAUCUGCUAUGCUAUGCUGGAGAAAUCGUUCAGCAAAAUAGACGCCUACAAAGUGCUCGACAGAACGACUGAAAGAGUUAAAAGAAAGGGCUGCAGAAAUCUUCACACCAACUGUUUGGGAAAAUGCCUUGAAUAGAAAAAGGACUGCAAAAGUGGAGAAGCUGAACCAUUGAGAAUACUCAUUUCUAAUACGGCAAACUUCAAUUCAAAUACACUAAUGAUCAAACAUCAUUAAUUUAUUCCAUGCAUGUUAAUUAGCUCUCUUAACAACGAAGAUUAGGUCCAGGAUUAACUCCGAAUUGGUUACAAUAACUCGUAUAAUAAUUAACACGAGCAGUCACGGCGGCCGGCUUCCCUCCAUUGCAUUCUCCGCCGUUAAUAGCCCUAAUCGUGGCCCCAAAACCCCGCCCCGAUGUAAUAGCCGUGUGCACGCUAUUCAUCCAGAACCACAGCGCGGCCUUGAAUGAGAUGGCGGAGUCCCGGGCCACGAUAUCGGGGUUGUUCAAUCCAUCAAAAUUUAGGGCUUGGCCCGCCGGGCCGUAGUUGUAGUUCCACGUCAGCUGUAGCGGGCCUCUGCCGUAGUAGCUCUGGCCCGGCGUGCACGGCCACUGUUUGUUGCUACUGCAAUAGACCGCCUUGUUUAUCUCUCGUGUGUAGCACAUGUCUGCAUGGGAAAGAAAAUUAUCAGAUCGUCUGAUGGGUCAAGAUUCGUCACAUAUAUUCAUUAAUAAUAUUAAUAUUUGGUUUAUGGUUGUGUUCGGAUAUAGACAUUGAAUUAAUUUAUAGAUUUUGACUCGUCAUACCGUCUGACAUGAUAUUAUUUCCCUAGUUCAAUAUUGAUUUCAACUCAUAUAAUUAAGUUGUGAGACAGAGAAUCUCAUCGAAUUAUCAAUAUUUUGUGUGAAGCAUUGUACAAUAGCUUCUAAAACCUAAUUAAAUAGUACAAAAAUUGUCUUUCGAAAUCUCAAACUCAAUACAUGUGUGCAAGAUGAUUAAUGCCCAAGGCCUGAAGUGCUGAAUUUGAUUCCACUGUGGCACGAUUUUUAAUUAAUUUAUUUAAUUGUGUAAUUUAUCAAAAAAAAAUAGAAAAAUAUAGCUCCUAAGUGAGAGUAACAAAGUUAACAAUUAAAAAGAAAUGUGAUUAUAUAUAAAAUUAUAAUCUUUUAAAAAGUAAAAUAAAAAUAAAUAAAUAAGAAAACUUAGUCCAAUCUAAUGUGUGACAUGCCAUGACCUCACGCUCCGAUUCGUCGGUGGACACGAGUUUCGAGAAAAUUUAAUUAUAUAUAAUUAGUAACAAUAUGUCCGAAAAUAGAAUAGGAAGAUAUUUUAUGGAGGAAUCAAAAAAGAAAAUUAGGAAAAUAUUUCGUGGACUUACGCCCGGUCUCGUGCGUGACAUGAGCGAAGAACGCCGCGAUCUCACGCUUCGAGUCGUCGGCGGACCCCACCGUGCCGAAGUUGGGGUACAGCUGAAUCGCUUGUAGGAAGGCGGCGCGUGUGUAGAAUCCCUUCCCGGCGCAGCCCCGCCCCGCCUGAUUAGCAAUGCCGUUGAAGAAACUAUCUGUCACCACGCCGCCGACAUUGCCUCCGUUGUUUUGGCCGGAGACGUAUUUUCCGGUGGCUAGGAGGAGAGCGAGAAGGGCGUAGAUAGUGAGGGAAUGGUUCAUUUUGGAGAUAGCUAAGAGUAGUGAGAAAAUAUUGUGUUGGUGUGGAGAAAUAAUGUGGGGAUAUGGGUAUUUAAAGAGUGAAAUAAAUAUAUACUCCAUUAUUUUAUUUUAUCUUUAGAAGGAUAAUGGGAAGAGGAAGAUAUCUUGAAGCUAGGAAGAUUGGAAGUUUGUUACAAAUGGAUUAGUAUAUUAUUGACUUUUGGAAUGCCUUAUAGUAUAAGGUACUAUUUGAUUUUAUUGUGGUGGAAAUUUGUGUUGGAUUUUCCAAAGUGGAGUAGGUAAACUUGACUUACUAUUAAGAGUCAACUCAUAAUAUUUACACCAUAUAUAACUAGUUACUUAUAAUCUAAUUAUAUGCUAAAGGAUAUUGUUCACUACAAAUUAUACUUAUAAGUUCAAAUGAGAAGGUAUAUAAUGUACUAUAAAUUAAAAAUUAUUUCAGUACUGAAAAUGUGAAGAUUUACUGUGAAUUCAUCACUUUGCUGAACGAACUCAUAAUUCAUGGUUCAUACUGAAUUUAAAUCUUAAAGGUGUUGAAAAUUCAUUUUCUUUUAAUUCAUUACUUUUCACAAUGAAUUCAUAAUAAUUCAUAUAUGAGAUGUUUGAUUUGAGCGAUAAGCAUGACUGAUAAACAAGUCCAACUUAACUAAACAUUUGGUUUGUAUGAUUCGACUCGUAAUAUAAUUUGGCCCGUAAUUUAAUCAUAUAAUAAAAUGAUCAUUUAUCACUUUAAAAUUGAGUUGAUUAUAUAUAACUCUAUCCGACAUUAUAAACAAUGAGACCAAAUAUAUAAAGACUCCAAAAUAAAAAUAAAAAAACCACGAAAGUGUUUAAUAAAAAUGAAAUAAAAGAAGAAUAUGACAAACCAACAUACUAGUGAGUCACAUGAUUCUCUAGAGUCCUAGCUUGGUCAAUUCUAUAUCUCAAUACAUUAAAAAUAAUAAAUAUUACCGACUCAUUAUAGUCCAAAUUAAUUGGUUCACGUGAUCAUGGUCCCCAUAUGUAAUACCGACCUAAUUUUCCACAUUCUCUUUCUUCUUCUUUUUUUUUUCUUCUUCUUCUAGUAACAUUUUUGUAUUCUCAUCCCUUCCUUGUUUAUACCACAUAUAACAAAUAUCUCAUUGAUUUAAUCUAUUUCAAUUUUUUUAAAAGAUAUUUCCUAAAUAUAACCUACCCCAAUUAACAUUAGCUAAGAGUUCAAGUUAAAUAUUAAAAAAGAGGGGGAAAAUGCCUUAAAAUACACAAAGUUUGGACGAAUUCUGAUUUUACACACAACUUUUGAAAUUUGAAAAAAAAAUACAACAAAUUUUAAUUUUUAUUUAUUUUUUAGUAAAUUUAAAAAUACCCUAAAAUUAGAAACAUAAAAGUUGCUACUACAACCCAACACAGCAAGCUCAUAAAUAACUAGGGAUGGCAGUGGAUCUUGGAUGCGGUUCGCAAUUCAACAUGAAAAUAAAGCUUUCUCUCGCAAUCAAACUUAAUACAAAUAUUGUAGCAGUUUAAAAUUUAAUGUAUUUCAUUUCAAAUUUCAAAGGUUGUGAGCAUAUUAAAAUUUUAUUUUUAUUUUUUCAUGGAUUAAUGUUUGAUUGCGAGAGAAAACUUUAAUCAAUAUUUUGAAUAUAAAUUUAAAUAUAAAUAUAAAUUUAUAUUCGGUAAACAAAAUUCGGGAUUCGAUGCGAUACUAAACAAAUCAAACUUGAGCACACCAGUAUUCAAUUCGACUCGGUUCGAUUAUACCCCUAUGUAUUCCCAGAAAAUGAAACCUUUUACCAAAAAGUACAAAGAUGUAAAAUAAUACUGUGAAAAGCGCAUUUUCAACUCUCUAUAAUGCUUUAGACAUCGUAUGUCAUGCAACGAUUUUACGAUGCAAUAUUUUCAAGAAUUCUUGAAAUUCACUGUAUCCAGCUUGGAUCCAUAACAUUUUUCAGACCUUUUUAGUUAUUGUAUCAAGUAAAUAUGUUCAAACUGUUGGAAAUCUGCUAUGCUAUUCUGGAGAAAUCGUUCAGCAGAAUAGACGCCUACAAAGUGCUCGACAGAACGACUGAAAGAGUUAAAGAAAGGGCUGCAGAAAUCUUCACACCAACUGUUUGGGAAAAUGCCUUGAAUAGAAAAAGGACUGCAAAAGUGGAGAAGCUGAACCGUUGAGAAUACCCAUUUCUAAUACUUCAAUUCAAAUACACUAAUGAUCAAACAUCAUUAAUUUAUUCCAUGCAUGUUAAUUAGCUCUCCUAACAACGAAGAUUAGGUCCAGGAUUAACUCCGAAUUGGUUACAAUAACUCGUAUAAUAAUUAACACGAGCAGUCACGGCGGCCGGCCUCCCUCCAUUGCAUUCUCCGCCGUUAAUAGCCCUAAUCGUGGCCCCAAAACCCCGCCCCGAUGUAAUAGCCGUGUGCACGCUAUUCAUCCAGAACCACAGCGCGGCCUUGAAUGAGAUGGCGGGGUCCCGGGCCACGAUAUCGGGGUUGUUCAAUCCAUCAAAAUUUAGGGCUUGGCCCGCCGGGCCGUAGUUGUAGUUCCACGUCAGCUGUAGCGGGCCUCUGCCGUAGUAGCUCUGGCCCG